UCUGCCCCACGGGGAAGGAUGAGAAGCUUCGACUAAGGUUCGACUCGAGCGAAGCGAGAGAACGUUGCCGCAGGCAACGGCCCGAAGGGCGAGGCGCUUUAGCGCCGAGUAAUCCUUCCCCCACCACUG
RNAcentral lists this small RNA (129 nucleotides) under Klebsiella pneumoniae. Its description in RNAcentral is "RtT sRNA". It matches the Rfam family "RtT RNA". Rfam says of the family: This family represents a bacterial cis-regulatory element known as RtT RNA. The exact function of RtT is unknown although it is thought that it may be involved in changing the cellular response in relation to amino acid starvation. The record is from RNAcentral. Lineage: Bacteria; Pseudomonadati; Pseudomonadota; Gammaproteobacteria; Enterobacterales; Enterobacteriaceae.